AGUCGAACGAAGCGCUUAAACGGAUUUCUUCGGAUUGAAGUUUUUGCGACUGAGUGGCGGACGGGUGAGUAACGCGUGGGUAACCUGCCUCAUACAGGGGGAUAACAGUUAGAAAUGACUGCUAAUACCGCAUAAGCGCACAGUGCUGCAUGGCACAGUGUGAAAAACUCCGGUGGUAUGAGAUGGACCCGCGUCUGAUUAGCUAGUUGGUGGGGUGACGGCCUACCAAGGCGACGAUCAGUAGCCGGCCUGAGAGGGUGAACGGCCACAUUGGGACUGAGACACGGCCCAAACUCCUACGGGAGGCAGCAGUGGGGAAUAUUGCACAAUGGGGGAAACCCUGAUGCAGCGACGCCGCGUGAGCGAAGAAGUAUUUCGGUAUGUAAAGCUCUAUCAGCAGGGAAGAAAAUGACGGUACCUGACUAAGAAGCACCGGCUAAAUACGUGCCAGCAGCCGCGGUAAUACGUAUGGUGCAAGCGUUAUCCGGAUUUACUGGGUGUAAAGGGAGCGUAGACGGUUGUGUAAGUCUGAUGUGAAAGCCCGGGGCUCAACCCCGGGACUGCAUUGGAAACUAUGUAACUAGAGUGUCGGAGAGGUAAGCGGAAUUCCUAGUGUAGCGGUGAAAUGCGUAGAUAUUAGGAGGAA
Molecule: ribosomal RNA, 646 nt
Filed under: uncultured bacterium
Lineage: Bacteria
Description: bacterial SSU rRNA
Rfam family: Bacterial small subunit ribosomal RNA
Source: RNAcentral